Molecule: ribosomal RNA, 403 nt
Filed under: uncultured bacterium
Lineage: Bacteria
Description: partial 16S ribosomal RNA
Rfam family: Bacterial small subunit ribosomal RNA
Source: RNAcentral
GACGAACGCUGGCGGCGUGCCUAAUACAUGCAAGUCGAACGCAGUGGGGACGGGUGAGUAACACGUGGGUAACCUCCCAUCAGAGGGGAUAACACUUGGCAACAGGUGCUAAACCGAUACUGAUGGAUGGACCCGCGGUGCAUUAGCUAGUUGGUGGGGUAACGGCUCACCUAGGCCACGAUGCAUAGCUGAGCUGAGAGGGUGAUCGGCCACACUGGAACUGAGACACGGCCCAGACUCCUACGGGAGGCAGCAGUAGGGAAUAUUGGGCAAUGGACGAAAGUCUGACCGAGCAACGCCGCGUGAGUGAAGAAGGUCUUCGGAUCGUAAAACUCUGUUGUUAGGGGAGCGGUAUCUAACGAGAAAGCAACGGCUAACUACGUGCCAGCCGCCGCGGUAAUUC